AAGUCAGACAGAGUGCUUCUAUUGUAAGAAGCAGGAUCAUUGGAAGAGAAAUUAUUCUCAAUACAUAGCUUCCCUUGAUCCAAACAGACCGAAGAAGAAGAAGCAAUCGGUUGUUGGACAUGGUAUUUAUAUGAUAAUACCUUGUAACUUCUCAAUUUUUGAUACAAUGACCUAGGUAUUGGAUACUGGUAGUCCUAUUAAUAUUUUCAAUUCAUUGCAGAGACUUCAGAUCAGUAGCAGAUUUGGAGACGGCG
Molecule: long non-coding RNA, 254 nt
Filed under: Elaeis guineensis (African oil palm)
Lineage: Eukaryota; Viridiplantae; Streptophyta; Magnoliopsida; Arecales; Arecaceae
Description: long non-coding RNA (EGUI_LNC063291)
Source: RNAcentral